CCUACGGGAGUCAGCAGUGAGGAAUAUUGGUCAAUGGACGCGAGUCUGAACCAGCCAAGUAGCGUGAAGGAUGACUGCCCUAUGGGUUGUAAACUUCUUUUAUAAAGGAAUAAAACGCGGCACGUGUGCCUUUUUGCAUGUACUUUAUGAAUAAGGAUCGGCUAACUCCGUGCCAGCAGCCGCGGUAAUACGGAGGAUCCGAGCGUUAUCCGGAUUUAUUGGGUUUAAAGGGAGCGUAGAUGGGUUGUUAAGUCAGUUGUGAAAGUUUGCGGCUCAACCGUAAAAUUGCAAUUGAUACUGGCAGUCGUGAGUACAGUUGAGGUAGGCGGAAUUCGUGGUGUAGCGGUGAAAUGCUUAGAUAUCACGAAGAACCCCGAUUGCGAAGGCAGCUUACUAAACUGUGACUGACAUUGAUGCUCGAAAGUGUGGGUAUCAAACAGGAUUAGAUACCCCUGUAGUC
This 460-nucleotide ribosomal RNA is filed under the name uncultured bacterium. Its description in RNAcentral is "partial 16S ribosomal RNA". It matches the Rfam family "Bacterial small subunit ribosomal RNA", at positions 338 to 795 of the family's 1533-position model. The record is from RNAcentral.